Molecule: ribosomal RNA, 1112 nt
Filed under: uncultured bacterium
Lineage: Bacteria
Description: bacterial SSU rRNA
Rfam family: Bacterial small subunit ribosomal RNA
Source: RNAcentral
GAUGAACGCUGGCGGCGUGCUUAACACAUGCAAGUCGAACGAAGCACUUUAUUUGAUUUCCUUCGGGACUGAUUAUUUUGUGACUGAGUGGCGGACGGGUGAGUAACGCGUGGGUAACCUGCCUUGUACAGGGGGAUAACAGUUGGAAACGGCUGCUAAUACCGCAUAAGCGCACAGUAUCGCAUGAUGCAGUGUGAAAAACUCCGGUGGUAUAAGAUGGACCCGCGUUGGAUUAGCUAGUUGGUGAGGUAACGGCCCACCAAGGCGACGAUCCAUAGCCGACCUGAGAGGGUGACCGGCCACAUUGGGACUGAGACACGGCCCAAACUCCUACGGGAGGCAGCAGUGGGGAAUAUUGCACAAUGGGCGAAAGCCUGAUGCAGCGACGCCGCGUGAGCGAAGAAGUAUUUCGGUAUGUAAAGCUCUAUCAGCAGGGAAGAUAAUGACGGUACCUGACUAAGAAGCACCGGCUAAAUACGUGCCAGCAGCCGCGGUAAUACGUAUGGUGCAAGCGUUAUCCGGAUUUACUGGGUGUAAAGGGAGCGCAGGCCGUGCGGCAAGUCUGAUGUGAAAGCCCGGGGCUCAACCCCGGUACUGCAUUGGAAACUGUCGUACUAGAGUGUCGGAGGGGUAAGCGGAAUUCCUAGUGUAGCGGUGAAAUGCGUAGAUAUUAGGAGGAACACCAGUGGCGAAGGCGGCUUACUGGACGAUAACUGACGCUGAGGCUCGAAAGCGUGGGGAGCAAACAAGAUUAGAUACCCUGGUAGUCCACGCCGUAAACGAUGAUAAUAGGUGUUGGGAAGCAUUGCUUCUCGGUGCCGUCGCAAACGCAGUAAGUAUUCCACCCGGGGGGUACGUUCGCAAGAAUGGGACUCUUUGGGAUUGUCGGGGGCCCGCUCCCGCGGUGGGGCGUGUGGUUUUUUUUGUGGCUGCGCGGGGGGCCUUUCCUCGUCUUGGCGUCCUUCUGUCCGGUGGUUGCUCGUGCCUUCUCUUCGGUGCGGGGGUGGCGGGUGUUGCGUGGUUGUCGUCUGCUCGUGUCGUGUGGUGUUGGGUUGGGUCCCGCCCCGCGCGCGCCCCUUCUCUUUUGUUGCCCGCGGUUCGGCCGGGCGCUC